This 1194-nucleotide long non-coding RNA is filed under the name Callithrix jacchus (white-tufted-ear marmoset). RNAcentral's name for it is "lncRNA (ENSCJAG00000074011.1)". Lineage: Eukaryota; Metazoa; Chordata; Mammalia; Primates; Cebidae. The record is from RNAcentral.
GCGCAGCGCUGGAACCACGUAGGAGGCGGCGGCGGCGGCGGCCCCGGCCCCGGGAGUGGCAGAGUCUUCGGCCCGGCCCAGAGUGAACGAGCAGCGGGGCUCCAGGGCGCAUCCCAAUCCCCGCAGCGCCUCCUCCUCCUCCUCCGCCGCCGCCUCCUCCUCCUUCCCCUCCUCCUGGCUUCAUUCACCCUCCCAGCAGCCGCGCAGCCGUUCACUCCCGGCUCCGGGCAGCGCCUGCCGCGGCUCCUCGGUUCCUGCCGCGGGCGCUGGCAGGGGCGCCGGCCCGGACUGGGGCGCUCGCGGGCUCGCGGCUCCGGGCGGCGGCGGCCGCUGCACAGGAUCAGGAAGCGGCCGCACCAACAGGGCGGCGGUGGCGGCGGCAGCCAGGGCCGCCACCGCCACUCCAGCCGCGCUCCAGGCACCCGCACACCCGCUACCCCCGCGGGGUCCCCGAGGCCACCCCUCCGCGCCCCCCGCCUGGCACCCGGCCGAGCGCAAAGUCCCGGCCCCUUGGCUGGAGCAGUCCCUUCCCAGCCCACAGCCGUACAGCCGGCGAGGCCGGCCACGGAGGGAAGACCCUCGCCCAGGGGCGCCGAGGCCGGGCGUCCACCCGCGGGGAAGUGCAGCCCUCCCCGAGACCCCCCCUCUCUCACCGCCCUCUCCGGAGAGGAGGAAUGGGAAGAGGGCGGCCGGGAAAGGGACCAGCCCCCCACCCCGGCCGCCGCCGCCUCCCCCUGCGCCACCCGGAGGGAGGAGGACAUGGCUCUCGGCACUCGCGACCGGACCAGCAGUCUCCAGAGCGGGGCGCCGCCGCCGCUCUCCCUGCCCGCGCCCCCCGCCCGGGCGCGCCCCCUAGCCCGGCGGGCGCCCACCCGGCCCCUGACAGCCCCCCCGAACGGCCGCCCCUGCGCCCAGAGUGGGGGUGUCGGCCUGGGAGCCUGGAACCGGGGACGGUUGUAUGUACACACACACGCACGCACACACACACACAACACGACGCGUCGAUUCCCUUCGCUCCUCUUCCAGCUGUUUUCCGUGCAGCCGAUUGGGGUUUUAGGGUUUGUUUGCUGGUUGUUGCUUUUGCCCCUCUCGGGAGAUAGGGAGAGGAGGGAUUUUAAUCUAAAUAAGGGGAGAAGGGGAUGGGGGAGGGGGGAAAAGAAUCAGAGGAGGAAAAAAAAUAGCCACUUACUGUAA